GCGCACCAGGCGAGAAUCUUCCCCAAUGGACGAAAGUCUGAGGGAGCGACGCCGCGUGAAUGAAGAAGCCCUUCGGGGUGUAAAAUUCUUUUCUUUAGGAAAAAUUCGUGAUGGUACUAAAGGAAUAAGGGGCCGCCAAACUCGUGCCAGCAGCGGCGGUAAUACGAGUGCCCCGAGCGUUACCCGGAAUUACUGGGCGUAAAGCGCUAAAAGGCGGUUUGAUAAGUCAGACGUCAAAUCUCCGAGCUCAACUCGGAGCCGGUGUCUGAAACUGUCUAACUUGAGGACGGAAGAGGCAAGCGGAAUGGCUGGUGUAGCAGUAAAAUGCGUUAAUAUCAGCUAGAACACCAACUAGG
Molecule: ribosomal RNA, 356 nt
Filed under: uncultured microorganism
Description: bacterial SSU rRNA
Rfam family: Bacterial small subunit ribosomal RNA
Source: RNAcentral